Molecule: RNA transcript, 373 nt
Organism: Arabidopsis thaliana (thale cress)
Lineage: Eukaryota; Viridiplantae; Streptophyta; Magnoliopsida; Brassicales; Brassicaceae
Exons: 2
Source: RefSeq
GAAAACCUUACCAUUCAUUGCAGAGUGGAUCAGUCACCACUGAUGGGUGGUUAAAGCUAAUAGCACCAGCUCAAACCGCGGUUUUGUUCAAAGAGCUCCGCUUAACCCUCCAUUCCAUUCUCAAAGAUCUCAUCCGAAAACCUGAGAAAUUAUGUAUUGUCCACAACGAAAUCGUCAAAGCUAUGGUCCAUCUUCUUAUAGAAGAAGGCAAACCGCAACACACAUGAACUAAAUAUUACGCCAGGAAAUGAAGAUCAAACUGUGUAAAUUAGAAAAUAACUCUUUAUUUUAGUAACUACUAUUUUAUGGCGGUGGAUUCAGAUCACCGGUGGUCAACUGUCUAACUAUUUCCUCAAUUGUAAAUUAAGUGUCC